UUUCUGGCUCUACGGGUGUUG
This 21-nucleotide non-coding RNA is filed under the name Caenorhabditis elegans. Lineage: Eukaryota; Metazoa; Nematoda; Chromadorea; Rhabditida; Rhabditidae. The record is from RNAcentral.